RNAcentral lists this ribosomal RNA (253 nucleotides) under uncultured bacterium. RNAcentral's name for it is "partial 16S ribosomal RNA". It matches the Rfam family "Bacterial small subunit ribosomal RNA", at positions 524 to 776 of the family's 1533-position model. The record is from RNAcentral.
GACGUAGGGCGCGAGCGUUGUCCGGAUUUAUUGGGCGUAAAGAGCUCGUAGGCGGCUUGUCGCGUCGACUGUGAAAUCCCGCGGCUCAACUGCGGGUCUGCAGUCGAUACGGGCAGGCUAGAGUUCGGUAGGGGAGACUGGAAUUCCUGGUGUAGCGGUGAAAUGCGCAGAUAUCAGGAGGAACACCGAUGGCGAAGGCAGGUCUCUGGGCCGAUACUGACGCUGAGGCGCGAAGGCGUGGGGAGCGAACGGG